This 822-nucleotide ribosomal RNA is filed under the name Tetraclita singaporensis. RNAcentral describes it as "SSU rRNA". It matches the Rfam family "Eukaryotic small subunit ribosomal RNA", at positions 611 to 1396 of the family's 1831-position model. Lineage: Eukaryota; Metazoa; Arthropoda; Thecostraca; Balanomorpha; Tetraclitidae. The record is from RNAcentral.
UGUUGCGGUUAAAAAGCUCGUAGUUGGAUAUCAGUGCGUGUCCGGUCCGGUAUGCCUGGCGCUGUCGCUCACGCGGCAAUGCUGGGCUCCCAAAUAUCGGCUGGCCGCAUUCAAUCGUGCCGGAUCCGUCGACGGGCCGUUCUUCGGAGGGGCCUGUUGGCGACCGGCGACGUUACCUUGAACAAAUUAGAGUGCUCAAAGCAGGCUCUGAAUGCCUGUAUACAUAUUCAUGGAAUUGGAGAAUACGUCCCUGGCUCGAUUUGGUUGGUUUUGAGAGUCGAAGGGAAAUGAUUAAUAGGGACUGACGGAGGCAUUCGUAUUGCGACGCGAGGGGUGAAAUCCUGUGACCGUCGCACGACGAACUACUGCGAAAGCAUUUGCCGAGAAUGUUUUCAUUAGUCAAGAACGAAAGUUAGAGGUUCGAAGGCGAUCAGAUACCGCCCUAGUUCUAACCGUAAACGAUGUCGACCAGCAAUCCGCAACGGUCACUACACGGACUGUGCGGGCAGCUUCCCCGGGGAAACCAGAGUUUUUGGACUCCGGGGGAAGUAUGGUUGCAAAGCUGAAACUUAAAGGAAUUGACGGAAGGGCACCACCAGGAGUGGAGCUUGCGGCUUAAUUUGACUCAACACGGGACAACUCACCAGGCCCGGACACCGUAAGGAUUGACAGACUGAUAGCUCUCUCUUGAUUCAGUGGGUGGUGGUGCAUGGCCGUUCUUAGUUGGUGGAGUGAUUUGUCUGGUUUAUUCCGAUAACGAACGAGACUCUGGCCUAUUAAACUUGACGCUGUCAGUCUCUUGUGACUGCGGCGCGCUUCUUA